GAUGAACGCUGGCGGCGUGCCUAAUACAUGCAAGUCGAGCGAACGGACGAGAAGCUUGCUUUUCUGAUGUUAGCGGCGGACGGGUGAGUAACACGUGGAUAACCUACCUAUAAGACUGGGAUAAGUUCGGGAAACCGGAUCUAAUACCGUAUAAGAUUUUGAACCGCAUGGUUCAAAAGUGAAAGACUUUCUUGCUGUCACUUAUAGAUGGAUCCGUGCUGCAUUAUCUAGUUGGUAAUGUAACGGCUUACCAAGGGAACGAUGCAUAGCCGACCUGAGCGGGGGAUCGGCCACCCUGGAACUGAACCACGGUCCAGACUCCUACGGGAGGCAGCAGUAGGGAAUCUUCCGCAACGGGGGAAAGCCUGACGGAGCAACGCAGAGCGAGUGAUGACGGUCUUCGGAUCGUAAAAAUCUGUUAUUAGGGAAGAACAUAUGUGUAAGUAACUGUGCACAUAUUGACGGUACCUAAUCAGAAAGCAACGGCUAACUACGUG
Molecule: ribosomal RNA, 497 nt
Filed under: uncultured bacterium
Lineage: Bacteria
Description: partial 16S ribosomal RNA
Rfam family: Bacterial small subunit ribosomal RNA
Source: RNAcentral